This 429-nucleotide long non-coding RNA is filed under the name Mus pahari (shrew mouse). RNAcentral describes it as "predicted gene, 30484 (MGP_PahariEiJ_G0005816.1)". The record is from RNAcentral. Lineage: Eukaryota; Metazoa; Chordata; Mammalia; Rodentia; Muridae.
CUCACUGCAAGAAUCUUCCUAAUCACAGCUGUGGAGUUUGAUCAUCCAUGCUUCAUGAUCUUCCAGUCAUCCCAAUGAAGCUCCUGGUAUUCCUUGUAUGGAUUUGUGCCUCUACUAUCCUGAUCUUUUGUUUAAGAUGGUAUUCCAGGGGAUCUUAGAUUCUUAUAUCCUUAUAACCAGAAGAAGAGGCCUCAAUUUAUAAACCUCCUUACUUUUUAUUCAUUUGUAGGUGUCAUGAUUAUCCACUGGAGUUUUAUAAGGUAGAUUCAUAUUUUCUUAUGUGAUAUGUCAAGGAUUCUGGGAAGAUGCCUGACUUAAUGAAAUGAGAUGUUUUUGGAUCUUCUACUAUUUAGAUAUCUCGGCCUAUCUUCAGUGAUAUUUUCUUUAACUAAUUACACUGAUGGCUUCAUCUAUCACUUUCAUCUUAUU